Molecule: long non-coding RNA, 1361 nt
Filed under: Apteryx rowi (Okarito brown kiwi)
Lineage: Eukaryota; Metazoa; Chordata; Aves; Apterygiformes; Apterygidae
Description: lncRNA (ENSARWG00000012152.1)
Source: RNAcentral
CUUCAUUCUCCUCUACAAAAUACUUUUGGGGACUUUUGGCAACCCUAGUUGUUGCUCGUAUAAUUAAUAUAAAAUACCUGACUUAGAGCCGUACAACAUCUCUUUUCUAAAUACGUUUAAUCUUAUCCAAAGUGAGCUUCCCAAUUUUAUUUGUGGCUUAUAGCAAAUGCCCUGAGUGCAUUUUGCAUUCAGAUCUAUAACCACUUUGUCAUCACAAGCCUCUCUGGGGCUACCCCUUUUUGGCUUUUUCUAUUUGUGUUCCCCCCCCCCUUCAUAAAACAAAGUCAGUAUGAUUCUUUCUAGCAUCUGUAGAGGGGGAAAUCUGUGAUCUGUCCCCUUUACUCAGAUCUUUCAUUUGACAUUUGGAAACUGCUCUUAUUUUUAGCAAUCAAGGCAGUGGCACAGGCUGCCUAGCUUAAAUGGUUUAGUUGGGGAUUUUUUCUUAUUUUUUGUUGCUGCUAAUGUAGUGUAAGAUUCCAGACAGGUUGAAGCGAACUGAGUUUCACUUGCUGUCACUACUCAGGACUGCCAUCAGAAGGAGAUCACCGGCAGUGCUUACACUGCUUUCCAUAUCACUAACUGGGAGCGCAAUAAAUAGAGUUCAGCUCAUUGUAGGCUCCUGAAAUGAAUGUGUGCAGACACUUCGGUUAGCUGCUUCUCUCCAGUGCAGAAGGACAGUCAGCCACUGGAUAUCUCUGCCGUCUCUCCUCUCUUCGCUGCUAGGUCUGCUGGGGACGGGUCAAGUGGUGCUGCCCAGGUUCUCAACAGCCUGGCAGGUAGAAGAGGAUCUGUAAUAGAAUUGGGAAAGAAAAAGGAGACAAGCUUUCUUUCCCAGCCCAUGGAAAAAUAACUUCCUGGAUUGUCAUCUGGAACCUGGGAAGUGCCAACAUGAGCAACAAUGAGAGGCCAGUGAACCCUGCCUCAUCUCCACUGACUGAGUGCCUGAAGAGAAAGAGGGGGAGACCAAAGAAGCAGCCACAGGAGGCUGUGGGGCCACUGCCAAUGAAGAAACCACGAGGAAGGCCAAAAGGAAGCAAGAAAGUGAAUGCUGUAUCUCAAAUGGUAGAACCUUCUGCCGAGAAAAGGCCAAGAGGGAGGCCCCGCAAGUGGCCUCAACUAGUGAUCCAAGAGGGAGUGUGUCAGGAAGGAACUCCUCAGGGAAGCAGUGACUCGAAUUUGACCGCACCGCCUGCCACACAAGGUUUGAAGUUAGACAAUCAUAAUUACACAGAACUAAACCRUGGAACCAGGCUCCUAGCAAACCAUGCAUAUACCCCCAAAGCUGCUGCUCCAGCUGCACUUGUCCUGUGAACCCUACAGACACCAGCGUGUCUGCAAGGCUUCCAGGAACAACUCAACAA